This 455-nucleotide ribosomal RNA is filed under the name uncultured bacterium. RNAcentral's name for it is "bacterial SSU rRNA". It matches the Rfam family "Bacterial small subunit ribosomal RNA", at positions 330 to 802 of the family's 1533-position model. The record is from RNAcentral.
UUAAGCUUCCUACGGGAGGCUGCAGUGGGGAAUCUUGCGCAAUGGGCGAAAGCCUGACGCAGCCAUGCCGCGUGAAUGAUGAAGGUCUUAGGAUUGUAAAAUUCUUUCACCGGGGACGAUAAUGACGGUACCCGGAGAAGAAGCCCCGGCUAACUUCGUGCCAGCAGCCGCGGUAAUACGAAGGGGGCUAGCGUUGCUCGGAAUUACUGGGCGUAAAGGGAGCGUAGGCGGACAUUUAAGUCAGGGGUGAAAUCCCGGGGCUCAACCUCGGAAUUGCCUUUGAUACUGGGUGUCUUGAGUAUGAGAGAGGUGUGUGGAACUCCGAGUGUAGAGGUGAAAUUCGUAGAUAUUCGGAAGAACACCAGUGGCGAAGGCGACACACUGGCUCAUUACUGACGCUGAGGCUCGAAAGCGUGGGGAGCAAACAGGAUUAGAUACCCUUGUAGUCGAAUUCU